GAAACCGUGUGCUUACAAGUAGUCAGAGCCCGUUAAUGGGUGAUGGCGUGCCUUUUGUAGAAUGAACCGGCGAGUUACGAUUUGAUGCAAGGUUAAGCAGUAAAUGUGGAGCCGUAGCGAAAGCGAGUCUGAAUAGGGCGUUUAGUAUUUGGUCGUAGACCCGAAACCAGGUGAUCUACCCUUGGUCAGGUUGAAGUUCAGGUAACACUGAAUGGAGGACCGAACCGACUUACGUUGAAAAGUGAGCGGAUGAACUGAGGGUAGCGGAGAAAUUCCAAUCGAACCUGGAGAUAGCUGGUUCUCUCCGAAAUAGCUUUAGGGCUAGCCUCAAGUGAUGAUUAUUGGAGGUAGAGCACUGUUUGGACGAGGGGCCCCUCUCGGGUUACCGAAUUCAGACAAACUCCGAAUGCCAAUUAAUUUAACUUGGGAGUCAGAACAUGGGUGAUAAGGUCCGUGUUCGAAAGGGAAACAGCCCAGACCACCAGCUAAGGUCCCAAAAUAUAUGUUAAGUGGAAAAGGAUGUGGCGUUGCCCAGACAACUAGGAUGUUGGCUUAGAAGCAGCCAUCAUUUAAAGAGUGCGUAAUAGCUCACUAGUCGAGUGACACUGCGCCGAAAAUGUACCGGGGCUAAACAUAUUACCGAAGCUGUGGAUUGUCCUUUGGACAAUGGUAGGAGAGCGUUCUAAGGGCGUUGAAGCAUGAUCGUAAGGACAUGUGGAGCGCUUAGAAGUGAGAAUGCCGGUGUGAGUAGCGAAAGACGGGUGAGAAUCCCGUCCACCGAUUGACUAAGGUUUCCAGAGGAAGGCUCGUCCGCUCUGGGUUAGUCGGGUCCUAAGCUGAGGCCGACAGGCGUAGGCGAUGGAUAACAGGUUGAUAUUCCUGUACCACCUAUAAUCGUUUUAAUCGAUGGGGGGACGCAGUAGGAUAGGCGAAGCGUGCGAUUGGAUUGCACGUCUAAGCAGUAAGGCUGAGUAUUAGGCAAAUCCGGUACUCGUUAAGGCUGAGCUGUGAUGGGGAGAAGACAUUGUGUCUUCGAGUCGUUGAUUUCACACUGCCGAGAAAAGCCUCUAGAUAGAAAAUAGGUGCCCGUACCGCAAACCGACACAGGUAGUCAAGAUGAGAAUUCUAAGGUGAGCGAGCGAACUCUCGUUAAGGAACUCGGCAAAAUGACCCCGUAACUUCGGGAGAAGGGGUGCUCUUUAGGGUUAACGCCCAGAAGAGCCGCAGUGAAUAGGCCCAAGCGACUGUUUAUCAAAAACACAGGUCUCUGCUAAACCGUAAGGUGAUGUAUAGGGGCUGACGCCUGCCCGGUGCUGGAAGGUUAAGAGGAGUGGUUAGCUUCUGCGAAGCUACGAAUCGAAGCCCCAGUAAACGGCGGCCGUAACUAUAACGGUCCUAAGGUAGCGAAAUUCCUUGUCGGGUAAGUUCCGACCCGCACGAAAGGCGUAACGAUUUGGGCACUGUCUCAACGAGAGACUCGGUGAAAUCAUAGUACCUGUGAAGAUGCAGGUUACCCGCGACAGGACGGAAAGACCCCGUGGAGCUUUACUGUAGCCUGAUAUUGAAAUUCGGCACAGCUUGUACAGGAUAGGUAGGAGCCUUUGAAACGUGAGCGCUAGCUUACGUGGAGGCGCUGGUGGGAUACUACCCUAGCUGUGUUGGCUUUCUAACCCGCACCACUUAUC
This 1685-nucleotide ribosomal RNA is filed under the name Staphylococcus aureus. Its description in RNAcentral is "partial 23S ribosomal RNA". It matches the Rfam family "Bacterial large subunit ribosomal RNA", at positions 552 to 2240 of the family's 2925-position model. Lineage: Bacteria; Bacillati; Bacillota; Bacilli; Caryophanales; Staphylococcaceae. The record is from RNAcentral.